Chrysemys picta bellii (western painted turtle) is the source of this 1808-nucleotide long non-coding RNA. RefSeq lists it as uncharacterized. Lineage: Eukaryota; Metazoa; Chordata; Testudines; Emydidae. The record is from RefSeq and is a predicted model, not a curated record.
ACACCCCGGCUGUACGUGGUGCGGUAGCGCCCCGGCUCUGCAGUGGUUGUGUAAAGCCCCAGCUCCUGGAGUCCCGUGAGAGCCUCCGCAUCCCUUAACCGUUCUAGCCCGCAGGACAGCGGAGAUAAGCGGGAAGACUUGAACCUUAGCGGCUCCAAAGGCAGAAGGAAAAUGUAAACAGCCCAAGAGGCGUUGUGUGCAUCGCACAGCCUUUGGGCCCUGAUGGUCAUUGGACACGGGGAGGUGACAGCACGGCAUGCAUGAUUCACUCAAAGCCCACCACCAAACUAACCUUCCCAGAAGCCAAAGAUAUCCUCUUAUCACCCCGCAAGAAAGUAUAGCCCUCCUCAAAGGCUAACGCCUGUGGUGAUUCUCGCUCUACUUCUGAGCACACUUUGUUCCUCUGCUCUACGCACUUCCCAUCUGUAGCACCACAAAGUCACAAAUGCCUCCUCCUGACAUUAGCCAAGCUGGCAAUAAUCAGUGGAGCAGAAGGAUGUUCAGUGAGGAGAUUCUCGUGAUUGUGGUGCCUUCCUCCAUUCCUUGGAUCAUUCAUGCAUCUGGACCUGGUUCCUCUGCCGGGCAUCCACUGACACCUUUGCAGAACAGUGCAAAACUGGUUCAGGAGGGAUACUAUCUACAGAGCUGAAAGAUGAUCUCAUGAUACUUGUCAUGACAAACAAGAAAUCCAACUGUACAAGAUCUCUCAACCAUGCACUGACCAGACUCUCAUCUUGUGAGCUCUUUGAGGCAAGGAUUGUGUCUGCUUACACCUUCCUGAGCCCAGUGAAGCCCUGACGCUGAUCAGGCUCUUUGUGCACUAGCUUUAUGUAAAUAAUAAAUAAUAAUAAUUAAUGCCACUGGUUUGCUUUGGAGAUCUGCAAGCUUCUACCUAUAGCUCACUGUCACCCUAAUCCCAACUUGUUAUAUUACUGAUUUUAGCAAUGCUUUUUGAAACAGUUAACCCCAAUUUAAAUGUAUACUGAGAUAUCUUUGCUAAAACUACUUUCCUAAACAGCAUAUUUUAAUAUUAUCUGAUUUAUGUUGUCAUUUUAAAAAAUCAUAUUUUGUAUUUAAAUAGAUUAAAUAUUUCAAGUGACUAAUGAUUUUGGAUGCCUCCAUCUUUUGAGUGCCCAACUUGAGAAACUAAAAGGAUUUUAAAGUUUUUUUGAGGAUGGAUGGUUAGCACUUUGAAAAUCUUGGCACUACUGUUUUCAUCCCAAAGCACUUCACAAAUGUCUCUUAUCCAGCACCACUGAAAAAAGCAGCCACCUCUGGAGAGACAGCACUGGACAACCAGUGCACAGCAUGCUGCCCAGGUAUGGGUGGGAGAAGGGACAUAUUGGCUAAAAAUACUAAUGCAAACCUGAUUUGUCAUGGGAUCUUUAAUUUCUGCUCUUUGCUGUGGUGAUGAACCCAGAUGCAGGCUCAUUGUACAUUAUUAAAUAAAUAAAACAAUAAAGUAACUAUUGACCAUGCAGUUUUAAGGUCUUCUCUGAAAUACUCAUACACAGUAUAUUGCGUGGUGCUUACUCUAUUUUUCCCAGAAGGAUUAAGGUGUUAGGGGACUCUGUUGGCAUUUGAAUUUGAGAUCCAAGGAAGUGUUUUUUUAAUAUAAAAUUUAUGUGUUUAUUUUAAGUUACUGAUCUUAGUGAAGUUAAGUAAAAGAAUGUGCUUUAGUUACCACUAAAAAUGUAACAUCUCUAUAUAUGAGACUCUGUUUUAUGUAACUGAAUCUGCAACUUAUUAGAGAGACAAGGUGGGUGAGGUCAUUAUUGGACCAACUUCUGUUGGUGAGAGAGACAAUC